UGAUUUGGAAUUUCAUGAACGUUAAUGUUUUAAUUAUUAAAGUUUUCAACGCAAGUGGUAACGUAAUAUAUAAACAAAAUGAGAAGUAGACAUAACUAAUACCUUGACGUGAAGAUUUAUGGGUUUGAGUCUUGUGAUUUGUGAGUUGUAGAGACGGCAAAAGAAGAAAAAGAAUUACAGCAUUGAUUUAUUAAUUUUUUACAAACUCUAUGUUUAAGAAAAGUUAAUUAUUUCAUUAGUUUACAUACAACUCCGGGUUUGAUUGGUUCUGUCACCGGUUACCAG
RNAcentral lists this long non-coding RNA (285 nucleotides) under Brassica napus (rape). RNAcentral's name for it is "long non-coding RNA (BNAP_LNC003413)". Lineage: Eukaryota; Viridiplantae; Streptophyta; Magnoliopsida; Brassicales; Brassicaceae. The record is from RNAcentral.